GUCGAGCGGUAGCACAGAGAGCUUGCUCUCGGGUGACGAGCGGCGGACGGGUGAGUAAUGUCUGGGAAACUGCCUGAUGGAGGGGGAUAACUACUGGAAACGGUAGCUAAUACCGCAUAACGUCGCAAGACCAAAGUGGGGGACCUUCGGGCCUCAUGCCAUCAGAUGUGCCCAGAUGGGAUUAGCUAGUAGGUGGGGUAACGGCUCACCUAGGCGACGAUCCCUAGCUGGUCUGAGAGGAUGACCAGCCACACUGGAACUGAGACACGGUCCAGACUCCUACGGGAGGCAGCAGUGGGGAAUAUUGCACAAUGGGCGCAAGCCUGAUGCAGCCAUGCCGCGUGUAUGAAGAAGGCCUUCGGGUUGUAAAGUACUUUCAGCGGGGAGGAAGGCGAUAAGGUUAAUAACCUUGUCGAUUGACGUUACCCGCAGAAGAAGCACCGGCUAACUCCGUGCCAGCAGCCGCGGUAAUACGGAGGGUGCAAGCGUUAAUCGGAAUUACUGGGCGUAAAGCGCACGCAGGCGGUCUGUCAAGUCGGAUGUGAAAUCCCCGGGCUCAACCUGGGAACUGCAUUCGAAACUGGCAGGCUAGAGUCUUGUAGAGGGGGGUAGAAUUCCAGGUGUAGCGGUGAAAUGCGUAGAGAUCUGGAGGAAUACCGGUGGCGAAGGCGGCCCCCUGGACAAAGACUGACGCUCAGGUGCGAAAGCGUGGGGAGCAAACAGGAUUAGAUACCCUGGUAGUCCACGCCGUAAACGAUGUCGAUUUGGAGGUUGUGCCCUUGAGGCGUGGCUUCCGGAGCUAACGCGUUAAAUCGACCGCCUGGGGAGUACGGCCGCAAGGUUAAAACUCAUAUGAAUUGACGGGGGCGCGCACAAGCGGUGGAGCAUGUGGUUUAAUU
This 899-nucleotide ribosomal RNA is filed under the name Klebsiella pneumoniae. RNAcentral's name for it is "bacterial SSU rRNA". It matches the Rfam family "Bacterial small subunit ribosomal RNA", at positions 61 to 951 of the family's 1533-position model. Lineage: Bacteria; Pseudomonadati; Pseudomonadota; Gammaproteobacteria; Enterobacterales; Enterobacteriaceae. The record is from RNAcentral.